This is a microRNA precursor of Chlorocebus sabaeus (green monkey), 110 nucleotides long. NCBI's taxonomy places the organism in Eukaryota, Metazoa, Chordata, Mammalia, Primates, Cercopithecidae. The record is from Ensembl.
AAAAAAAAAGUUGUGCUCGGGCAGUAAUGUAGAGAUUGGUUUGCCUGCUACUGAAUUCAAACUAAUCUCUAUGCUGCUGCCCAAGCACAUCCUAUAUUCAACUUCUUUAU